GAUGAAUGCUGGCGGUAGGCCUAACACAUGCAAGUCGAACGGCAGCACAGUAAGAGCUUGCUCUUACGGGUGGCGAGUGGCGGACGGGUGAGGAAUACAUCGGAAUCUACUUUUUCGUGGGGGAUAACGUAGGGAAACUUACGCUAAUACCGCAUACGACCUACGGGUGAAAGCAGGGGAUCUUCGGACCUUGCGCGAUUGAAUGAGCCGAUGUCGGAUUAGCUAGUUGGCGGGGUAAAGGCCCACCAAGGCGACGAUCCGUAGCUGGUCUGAGAGGAUGAUCAGGCACACUGGAACUGAGCCACGGUCCAGACUCCUACGGGAGGCAGCAGUGGGGAAUAUUGGACAAUGGGCGCAAGCCUGAUCCAGCCAUACCGCGUGGGUGAAGAAGGCCUUCGGGUUGUAAAGCCCUUUUGUUGGGAAAGAAAUCCAGCCGGCUAAUACCUGGUUGGGAUGACGGUACCCAAAGAAUAAGCACCGGCUAACUUCGUGCCAGCCGCCGCCGUAA
This 508-nucleotide ribosomal RNA is filed under the name uncultured bacterium. Its description in RNAcentral is "partial 16S ribosomal RNA". It matches the Rfam family "Bacterial small subunit ribosomal RNA", at positions 28 to 523 of the family's 1533-position model. The record is from RNAcentral.